Molecule: long non-coding RNA, 271 nt
Filed under: Rattus norvegicus (Norway rat)
Lineage: Eukaryota; Metazoa; Chordata; Mammalia; Rodentia; Muridae
Description: long non-coding RNA NONRATT007769
Source: RNAcentral
CCAUUUCAGAGAGGCGAGGUAACGUGGCAGGAGCCAGGGAGGCGGACUGUCGGUCAAACAUGCUCAGUCCGGCAUGCAGCAGCAGAAUGAGGGCUCCAGCCUCGUGGGCGGGUGGCACCGGCUGGACAGCUCACUUCCCACAAGUUCUCUGUGCAUGUGGCCAGGGCCUAGUUCUCUGUUUCUCUCUUCCUGUUCUGUGGGGGUGGUUGGGGAAAACCCACCUCAAGUGGUGUGUGUGUGUGUGUGUGUGUGUGUGUGUGUGUGUGUGUGU